CGCGUAGGCGGUUUUACAAGUCAGAUGUGAAAGCCCUGGGCUUAACCUAGGAACUGCAUUUGAGACUGUAAGACUAGAGAUCGAGAGAGGAAAGUGGAAUUACGAGUGUAGAGGUGAAAUUCGUAGAUAUUCGUAAGAACACCAGUGGCGAAGGCGACUUUCUGGCUCGAUACUGACGCUAAGGCGCGAAAGCGUGGGGAGCAAACAGGAUUAGAUACCCUGGUAGUCCACGCUGUAAACGAUGAGUGCUAGAUGUUGGUGGAGGAAUUCAUCAGUGUCGCAAGCUAACGCGUUAAGCACUCCGCCGUGGGGAGUACGGUCGCAAGAUUAAA
This 332-nucleotide ribosomal RNA is filed under the name uncultured bacterium. RNAcentral describes it as "bacterial SSU rRNA". It matches the Rfam family "Bacterial small subunit ribosomal RNA", at positions 568 to 898 of the family's 1533-position model. The record is from RNAcentral.